GUGGGGAAUAUUGGACAAUGGGGGGAACCCUGAUCCAGCCAUGCCGCGUGUGUGAAGAAGGCCUUUUGGUUGUAAAGCACUUUAAGCGAGGAGGAGGCUACCGAGAUUAAUACUCUUGGAUAGUGGACGUUACUCGCAGAAUAAGCACCGGCUAACUCUGUGCCAGCAGCCGCGGUAAUACAGAGGGUGCAAGCGUUAAUCGGAUUUACUGGGCGUAAAGCGCGCGUAGGUGGCCAAUUAAGUCAAAUGUGAAAUCCCCGAGCUUAACUUGGGAAUUGCAUUCGAUACUGGUUGGCUAGAGUAUGGGAGAGGAUGGUAGAAUUCCAGGUGUAGCGGUGAAAUGCGUAGAGAUCUGGAGGAACACCGAUGGCGAAGGCAGCCAUCUGGCCUAAUACUGACACUGAGGUGCGAAAGCAUGGGGAGCAAACAGGAUUAGAAACCCCGGUAGUCC
Molecule: ribosomal RNA, 451 nt
Filed under: uncultured bacterium
Lineage: Bacteria
Description: partial 16S ribosomal RNA
Rfam family: Bacterial small subunit ribosomal RNA
Source: RNAcentral